Molecule: small nucleolar RNA, 111 nt
Organism: Callithrix jacchus (white-tufted-ear marmoset)
Lineage: Eukaryota; Metazoa; Chordata; Mammalia; Primates; Cebidae
Source: Ensembl
CCCCUCUUGCAGUUCUUAAGCAUGAUGAUUAUGUGUUCACCCAUUCCUGUGUAAGAGGUGCCGUGCCACCUUCCAACCUUGUUACAACAUAGGCAUAUUACCCGUCUGACA